GGCUCAGUUGGUAGAGCACGGCGCUUGUAACACCAGGGUUGUGGGUUCCAUUCCCAC
Molecule: transfer RNA, 57 nt
Filed under: Salmo salar (Atlantic salmon)
Lineage: Eukaryota; Metazoa; Chordata; Actinopteri; Salmoniformes; Salmonidae
Rfam family: tRNA
About the family: Transfer RNA (tRNA) molecules are approximately 80 nucleotides in length. Their secondary structure includes four short double-helical elements and three loops (D, anti-codon, and T loops). Further hydrogen bonds mediate the characteristic L-shaped molecular structure. tRNAs have two regions of fundamental functional importance: the anti-codon, which is responsible for specific mRNA codon recognition, and the 3' end, to which the tRNAs corresponding amino acid is attached (by aminoacyl-tRNA synthetases). tRNAs cope with the degeneracy of the genetic code in two manners: having more than one tRNA (with a specific anti-codon) for a particular amino acid; and 'wobble' base-pairing, i.e. permitting non-standard base-pairing at the 3rd anti-codon position.
Source: Rfam by way of RNAcentral